AUGCGUCUUAUUGUAUUUAGAUGGGAACUCCAUCUCGUAACACAUAUUUGUCAUCUUUCUUUAGACAAAACUACGGAUCUCUAUUUAGAGUAAAGACUUUGACUAAUUAUGGGGUAUAUGUAGGCCUCACUUUUCGUUAGAGCGCCUAAGCCGAUUGAUGGAAAAUCAUCAUCAAUAUAGCCAUCGAGUGCCAUUUCGAGACUGUGUCUUCCCAAGAUCUUUUUCAUUCUUAACUUCAGAUGUUUGAUACAUAUCGGCAUCUCUUGAUCCAUCAAGAGUCCAUGUAAAUCCGGAAUGAACACGCAAAUGCAUAAUUCAUCAUAUCCCUUCCAAAUCAAGUAGAGUUCAUGUGCGUUUCAAUACAUUUAGCAAACGCAUGCUCCUGUGGUGUGGAGCCACUUGAUUCGGAUGAAUGAAGUCCGUUUAAGACCUUCAUGUAUAUCUCUGAUCUUAUAGAGAUGUUAUUAUCACCACAAUCAUAAGCUGCAUGUUCAGUUAUUCGGAAACUACCACACUGACAAAGUAGUGGAGUGCAAUGACAUCCAUUACGAGAACAUAUCUCAUCGUAGUUGAUCCCAGUGCGUGUUAGUGAGAGACUUUGCGCCAUAAGGUGAGCCUAAGCUCUUGUUCUCACUACGUUAUCUAACAAAGACAUAGUUGAUAGGGUUUAGCUUGCGGUGUCAGCAUCACCUGCCUAAUGACCUAUCUCUUUGUUAAUGCUGGAUCAUAUCUUUCCAUUAGGCCAACAACUAAGUUGAUAUCCAUCAACGAAGGGUGGUUCGAUAGUAGACUCAUUAUCUCACGUCCUCAUGUACACUAGUGUAAUACUUGUAAAGAUCUCUUUAUGGAGUGGAUUUGACAUUGAGACAUCCCCCAACGAUAAUCACAAUUUAGACUUUAUGAGGCGGAUUUGAGUAUGACUAAUCAACGGAUCAGGUUGUGCCAAGCUCGCUUUCUUCCUAGUGCGAGAAAGUAUUGAACCUAAAGGCCUCCCUCCUUUUGGGGAGCCACACAGCCUUGUGACACCAAUUUUGCCACUAUAUGGCGUCACCAUUUUACCAUCUAUGGUGAUGGCGUUAAGAUCAACUUGGUCACGCCAUGUCCUCUUGAUAGGACAUCAAUCCUUGCAGACAUAUUUGUAGCAUAUGAUCUCGUCACUUUAACACUUUAAGCAUUUGAGAUCAAGAUGAGACUUAGUGGGGACAAACCACGAUAAUUCACGUCGUUCCACUUGAUCACUUGUGUUCUUAUCUCCCUCUAACGGCGGGAAUAUUGUCUCAUCAAAGUGACAAUCCGCAAUUUAGUGGUGAAUGAGAUCAUCUGACAAGGUUUCUACAUAUGCGGUUUAUAUAGUUGGAGGUUCAUAUCCAACCUAAGUACUUAUUCAUCUCAAAUGACUCAUCAUUGUGCGCAGUGGCAUUGCGAUUUGGCACCUAAAAAUAACAUCUAGCCGAGCUCAAGGAUUGGAGAUCCAUUUUAAUCCUGCCGAGGUCAAGGAUUGCAAUUUCGUGUCAAUCCUCGUACACAGUCACAAGCUAUAAUACAAAAAUAUUCAAUGAUUGUGCGUCGUAAAUGAAUAGUAAAGCUGCAUGCAAAUAUUGCAUAGCCCCAAGACGCAAUAGAAAGAUUGGUGCGCAUCAAUAAUGUUCGAGCGACAAGCUAAAGUUUCUUAGUCGUAGCCUCGGUGAGACCGUAUUGCGUGUGAACAUGGGGUACAUGACACUUCAACUUAUAUCUCAAUAAACUUCUUUAAAGAAUGGGUAGUGAGCUUGUAGAAGUAUAAGCAGCAUAAACAGUAGAUAAUAGUCUAACACGUGACCGGUGUGUUAACACUUCAACCAACACCAUAAAGCAUAAAAAGGUGUCCACAAUUUGGUUGUAUCUAUCUACAUAAUUUGAUGUAAGAAUGAAAUGUUCACUUUUGUGUCAAUUAGCGUAGGAGAGUCUCACUCCUAAUUUAGCUAAAGAAUAGGCUUUCAAAACGAGCAAUGAGUAUUGCAAUGGGCUAAUGAGACAUCGAGGGAAAGCCGGUGCACCCCAAUUGCUUAAAGAAUUAAUUGGACGGCCUUCGGAAAGUUGGAGUCGUGUUCGGGUGACGUCAAUGUCCCCGGAUGCCAUCAUUUACAACCAUGGCGUCACCAUCAUACUUCAUGGAGAAGCUAGAUCCCGAAUGUCUUCAUUUUGAGCGGAAGAAUGGAUGUCCAUGAGAAUUUCUCAAAAUUUUGACCAUUAUAUCUCUUGCAGGAUGACCAAUUUGGUCAAACCAAAGCCUAUAUGAGUCGGUGUCCCAAAUAUCAUGUUUGGCGAUAAUAUGUGAUUCGAUAUUCGAAUCAUACAAAUCAUAGUGACAUACAAUCCACUAGAUUGACUCAUAAUCUUCUCUAAGAUGCAUUUCAGUUCCCAUACAUGAGAAUGUAUACACAAAAGAACUCUUGUUCUUUCUCACAAUGUGUUUUCAAAUGAAAACUAUUAGCAAGAAUGUCUUUAAAGCUCAACAUGGUUCGGUUGCCUCUCAAUACAUAAAAGGCAUCUGUGACGUUGAUCAUGGUACCAUAAAGCAUCAAAGUGCAAGAUAAAUUGCGUCCCUAAAUGACCGGUAUGAUUCAAUUAUUGUAGUCACAGAAGAUUUACAUAGACACAAAAUCCAAAGAUAGUUGCCGAUUCCUUAGAAUGUUGUGGAUAGUUCCACUAUCUACUAGGCACUCAAUAUCUCUAUGAGACAUAUCUACAAAAAGGAGUAGAUAGGCGAGUAAAUAUUUCCACUCGAACUAUUUAGAAGGAUUGAAAGAAGCUACAAAAAGCUGCAAUCCCAAGAGUGCAUAAAAAUUUCCACGCAAAAUGACUUUUGCGCACUAAAACAGCUAUAAAUUCUUCGUUAAAAUAGAUAUGGAUGAACCGCGAAAAUUUCUGAAAACUAGACUUGUAGAGCUUUCUAAUGAUAUAAAUCUCACUGUCUGUUUAGUCCGGAGCUAUUCACAAAGCUCAAAUGAAGUUGACUGUUCAGAAGGGACAAAUUGUUGUUUUUCGUAGAUUUGGCAUAUGCAAAGCAAUGAAGCUUGUGAAUGGCAUGUGGGCAUAAGUCGAAGCCAAAAUGACAUGUAUAUGAUCAAAAUAAAGUCGUUUUGGUCUUUCCAAGGUCGUAAACUCUAUGACUAGUCUAGUUAGCGAAAACUAACUCAGAGGACCUAGAGGAUUCGAUCAUGAUGAUAAUUGUCCUGUUUUGAUAAGUCCUUAACGUCUUCUACAAGACGAAAAUUGGUUUAAUAGCAUAUGGGGAUCCAAAAUCAAAAGUUUUCGGUAACUCCAAGUUAGUAUGAUCAGACAUGUCCGUGGAGGGUCGGUAGUACGAGGCACACUUGAAACCAUUAUCUUCUUAAUUUCGGACAAUUCUAACACAUUACAUUGAGCUUGGAUGAGCCUAGUUGAACAAUUGAUGAUGAAAAAUCCGCUAUAAAGUAGAAGACUUAACGGGAAACACGUUGGCAAUCCUCCUUGAGGAUGCAAGGCCGAGCGUCAUCUUCACUUGGAAGAGACCAAAUCAACACAAUCUAACCAUGUAGAUUGUAUAUAUGCCAUGCUUCUAAGGACAAUGUAAAAAUGUAUAUCUUUUUUGUAAAUCAAUACGAACCAUAAGAGGAGAAUAGUUUCAUAACUUCGAAAAAAUUCUCAAGGCAUUCAUUAUUACUAAUGUGAGUACAUUGAAGUCUCAAAUAGACGAAGGACGUCGAUACGACGCCUUAUUACAUAUAGCUUGGAAAGAAAAUCAACGUCUAGCCGAUGACGUCAAAGUCAGGGGUAGCUACAGUUGGAUCCGAAUCUUUGAAAUCCGCGAUCAUGAGGAUCACGUUCUUGUCCUCAUAUUGAUUUUCCGUACCUUUUUGUAUGCAUUCAUGACUUGAGGAUGAGCUCGACAACUCCUCAACUAGUGAUCUGGAGAUCCACACGGUUGCAUUCUUCGGAGCUGACAUGAGUAGUUUUGAUAGAUUGGUGUCUAGACCGGGAGUGUCGUCAUUAUGCGGCACCUCCCCCUCUUUUCUAGACUUCGGCACAGGUUCUUUACUGUUGUCGUGACCUACAUUACCUUUACCACACUAGGGGUUAAUCCCACGUGCACAGGCUAAUACGUUUAUCUCAUUAGCGUUUAUGUAAUUCCGCUAAAGAUUAUAGAUCAGGAUGCCAUGGAAUAUCAUCGGCGAUAUGUAGUCAAAUAAUGUGGUAAGCAAUCCACUUGACUUAAUAACUCAACGAGUUGAGUUAGAUGGACGUUUCAAGAAACGCUCCAUAAGUGCAUUCCACAGUAUUUUGUGGUCAUUACUUUUUACACAGAUUGCCGUUGAAGAUUGUUGCAUGUCGAUGUGGCGCCUCGAAACUUUGAGCGCGAGAGAUGUGAAAUCUCGGCAUCUAGGCUUGUUAGCCUAGGAGUCAAAACAUGUGGUUUAAUCUUUUCCAAUGAAAGGUUUCAUAUAUAUCUAGCGAAGAUUCGCCUUAGGCACCAAGUACGUCAAAACUCAGAUGAGCAUAAUGUUACGUUGCUCUUGCAUACAAAACUAAGCUGUUAUGAGACUCGAUAGAGGUUACAAACGAUGUUUUUAAUGGUUUGUCUUUCUGAUUGAUCACAUACAAUCCGGAAAAGCCACGAAUUGAUCAAACACAAUUUGGAAAAAGGCCUCGGAUUGAUCAAACACAAUCCGGAGAAAGGUCGGGGUUGAUCACACACAACCCGGACAAGGAAACAAGAGUGAUCAAACACACUCUUGACCCGCGAAUAAAAUUUCAAGAUUUUUACCCGCACGCACAAAAUCUGAAGCAUAGAAUGAAGAUGGAGAAUGGAGGAAAGGACUUUAUCCUCCCCGAGUUAUUGAACUUGAGAAAGUUUAGGGUUUCAAAACAUACCUUUCGAAACUUCAAACACUUGAACAAGUCGAAAAUUGUAGUCGGACGAAACCAAUAAUCGUCGGUGGGCGGCGACCAAGGGAUUGGUAGCCGGUGAUGUCAGACAGCGGUCGAGAAAACGGGUGGCGGAGGCAAUCGGAUAGAAGAGCCGAAAAACGCUUUUUAGGUUUUCGAAAAACAAAUGGUGGGUUAUUAGCUCUAGGGUUAGAACAAAGUGCAUGAUAACGUGAUCAAAUAUAAACUAUAAAGAAUGAGAGAUAGAAAGAGAAUAGAGAAUCAUCAUCUUAUUCAUUGAUAAGAGCCCUUUAUAUAGGGAAUUACAAAGUACCAAUAUGAUAAUGAUAAGGAAUUCAUAGUCUAUUCCAACUACAUAUCCUGAUGGCAUAAGGCCAAUGCACAUUUAUGAAAUAUCCUAGAACAAUAUUGUAUUUUAGGGGUAUUUUAAUUUCAUUUCUUGUAGGGGCAUUUUAAUAAUCAAACUAGUUUUAAUUCUGAAUUUUAUAUGGUAAGUAAAUAACAUCAAUCGUAAUUAGUUCCAUUUUUGUUUUGAUUCCUUAUGGUAAGUAAACAGUAAAAUGAUAUAAACUAUUCUCAUACCGAUUCUUCUUGAUACCGAUUCAUGAUAAUUUUCAUUCCAAGUUAGUAAAGUGUCCUAGAUCUAUUGUAAGCCGUUACAUUUGGGGUAAUGAAAAGAUAAAACACAAAAAGUAGUUUGUUUUUUUCUUUUUUUGUUGUCAAGGCUUUGUUAAGUUUGAAACUUUAAAUUGCUUAAUGUUAUUUUAUGUCCAAGUUGGUUUGAACUUUUGGAAACUUGGAAUAUCUUUGCUUUCAUGGAAAUAUGUCUUAAAUUCCAGGUUUUCCGGAUCUGAAUCAGUUUUUUUUUUUUUUUUUUUUUUUUUUCUAGAUUCGGAUCUAUUCGGAUCUUGUAUAUAAAAAUGCAAAUCCGAUCCAAAAUAAUUAAACUGUUCGGAUCACGGAUCCUAUUUUUUUAAAAUGGAUCUAAUUUGAACGCAGCCUUACUCUGAAGUAUGACCUGAGAUAAUAUCAGGACUCGCUACAUCUGAUAAAUAUUCUAACAAGCACCAAGUAGCAAAGAGUAUUGUUCCAUUGACAACUCCAUUUGUUUUGACACAAAGUGACAUAAUGCAAAAAUCAUUAUAUAUAUAACACUAUUACACAUCCUAAUGUCUAACAAUCAGCUUAGCUUUUCAACUAUGUUAUUGUUGGAAUAAAGAUCCAACGACACGUAAUUUCAUCAUACUACUAGGCGACAUCAACCAUUUCACGAAACAAGAAGCUCGCCGCCCACCUAGAGCAGACAAGACACAUUUAAUGCAAACACCAGCACGAAGUUCAUCUAUCCUACAAAACUGAUGUAGGGGUUUAUUGCGACAUAAAGUGCAACCUUAAUAAGCAACUUAAAUAAAUACAAAAUAUUUAUUAAGAUAAACAUUAGGGCAUAUCCCAAUAAAAGAGUUCAAACCCUGGUCUAGGACCACAUCCCACAUGCAGAGCCCAACUCAACUCUUGCAUAGCCUUCUCUUGCCUCCCACAUGCCCAGUCACACCACCACCAGUGACGGAUUGCCACCGUCGACGGUUUAGGGAACUAGCCACUCGGUCGCUCCAUCACCAACACUUCAUGACCCACACACCAACGAUUAAUGCAACUAUAUAUCCUCCGGCUCUAAACCGAAUAUGGAAUGUCCUGAUCGAUCUACAUAUCCAGUAACUCAUAAGUCCUCCACCUCCAUCCUCGCUUGACUUAAAAACUCGACCACAUUUGAUGAUCUCAUGGCUACCCGCGACAACGAACUCGCUGACCAACCCUGACAACAAUAAUCGAGGUGCCACUCAACAACGACCACAAGUUCUUCCACCACCUCACUCCAACCACAACAGUCUAGAUUGAACUACCCCACAGCCAACACACAACCAAUCUCGUUCGAGCGGUGACACCCUUAGAACGCGCCAUUAGGCAAAUGAGAGAAAUUUUCAUAUAAAACCCUAGAGCAUGUGCGACGUGUUCGAGCCAAAGAGGGAGUUUUUAGUUUUAAAUCAAAUGAUGAACAAGUCAAAUAAUUUGUUAAUGAAACUAAUUUUUGUGUGUAAGUUUGAUUUGUUGAAUUGCAAAAUGUAGAUUAUGUUGAUUUUGUAGAUCUUUUUUCUUAGAGUAGCAUAAUAACGCAAGUCGAUAAGAAUUUGGGUCGUUGUACUUUUGAUGUAUCUAAAUCCAUAUUGGCUCCUUUGGUUUUACUCCCAUUUAUUUUAAAUUUUGAAUUAUUUUUGUUUUUUUCUUAGGGAUUGGACGUCAGGUCUUUAUACCAAAUGAAUCAUAAUCACAAACAUGACUUCCCAGCAAUGACAACGGAAGCAUAAGUCAUGCCAAGUAACUCAAGAGAAACCUAAUGAAACUACCAUGAUGUUU
RNAcentral lists this long non-coding RNA (7320 nucleotides) under Fragaria vesca (wild strawberry). RNAcentral's name for it is "long non-coding RNA (FVES_LNC001551)". The record is from RNAcentral. Lineage: Eukaryota; Viridiplantae; Streptophyta; Magnoliopsida; Rosales; Rosaceae.